UACGGGGGGGGCAAGCGUUGUUCGGAAUUACUGGGCGUAAAGGGCGCGUAGGCGGGUGGACAAGUCUCUCGUGAAAGCCCACGGCUCAACCGUGGAAUUGCGGGAGAUACUAUUUGUCUUGCGUCCGGGAGAGGAGGGUAGAAUUCCCAGUGGAGCGGUGAAAUGCGUAGAUAUUGGGAGGAACACCGGUGGCGACGGCUGCUCUCUGGAUCGGUACUGACGCUGAGGCGCGACAGCUAGGGGAGCAGACGAG
Molecule: ribosomal RNA, 253 nt
Filed under: uncultured bacterium
Lineage: Bacteria
Description: partial 16S ribosomal RNA
Rfam family: Bacterial small subunit ribosomal RNA
Source: RNAcentral